Molecule: ribosomal RNA, 497 nt
Filed under: uncultured bacterium
Lineage: Bacteria
Description: partial 16S ribosomal RNA
Rfam family: Bacterial small subunit ribosomal RNA
Source: RNAcentral
GAUGAACGCUGGCGGCGUGCCUAAUACAUGCAAGUCGAGCGAACAGACGAGGAGCUUGCUCCUCUGACGUUAGCGGCGGACGGGUGAGUAACACGUGGAUAACCUACCUAUAAGACUGGGAUAACUUCGGGAAACCGGAGCUAAUACCGGAUAAUAUAUUGAACCGCAUGGUUCAAUAGUGAAAGACGGUUUUGCUGUCACUUAUAGAUGGAUCCGCGCCGCAUUAGCUAGUUGGUAAGGUAACGGCUUACCAAGGCAACGAUGCGUAGCCGACCUGAGAGGGGAGAGCGGCCACAUGGAAGUGAGAACACGUGCCAGACACCUAGGGGAGGAAGAAGAGGGGAGUGGUCGACAAGGGCCGAAGGCUGGAGGAAGAAAGGCUGCAGGGUGAAGAAGGUUCUCAGAUUGGUAAAACCCGGUAAUUGGGAAAGAACAAAGUGUAAGUUACCAAUGAAGGUCUGGAGGCGACCAAAUAGAAAAACAGCGGCAAAUUAGGU